Molecule: ribosomal RNA, 208 nt
Filed under: uncultured bacterium
Lineage: Bacteria
Description: partial 16S ribosomal RNA
Rfam family: Bacterial small subunit ribosomal RNA
Source: RNAcentral
CGCGUAGGCGGCCUGGUAAGUCUGGAGUGAAAGUCCUGCUUUUAAGGUGGGAAUUGCUUUGGAUACUGUCGGGCUUGAGUGCAGGAGAGGUAAGUGGAAUUCCCGGUGUAGCGGUGAAAUGCGUAGAGAUCGGGAGGAACACCAGUGGCGAAGGCGACUUACUGGACUGUAACUGACGCUGAGGCGCGAAAGUGUGGGGAAGCAAACA